Octopus sinensis (East Asian common octopus) is the source of this 471-nucleotide long non-coding RNA. RefSeq lists it as uncharacterized. The record is from RefSeq and is a predicted model, not a curated record. The transcript has 3 exons. NCBI's taxonomy places the organism in Eukaryota, Metazoa, Mollusca, Cephalopoda, Octopoda, Octopodidae.
UUUGCGGUUUUAAAGAAAAAUUAUUUAUUUAUUUCAAUUAUCUUUAAAAAAUAGACAUUAAACAUGUUGAGAGGAAAUUGUGUCAAAACAUUAUCCAAAGCACUCUCUACACGAGCACCGAGACUAAACCCAAUCACUUAUCUGACAGAAGAGGAAACAUUGAUACAAAAAAACGUGGCCACCUUCUCCCGAGAAAUCCUUAAGCCCCGAGUACUGGAAAUGGACAAGCAAGGAUUCAUAGACAGUCAAGUCCUCGAAGAAGGAUUCAAAAACGGGAUUUUUAGCAUAGAAAUAAGCGAGGACAUGGGUGGCUGUGGAGCCAGUUUUUUUGCCAGUAUUUUGGCCAUUGAACAAAUCUCGAUGGUCGAUUGCUCGUUUUCGGUAGUCUGUGAUGUCCAAAACACAUUAAUCAUAACAUUGCUCAAGAAAUAUGCCUCCUCCAAACUAAAGGACAAGUAUUUCCCACGUCUA